This 1818-nucleotide unclassified non-coding RNA is filed under the name Stegodyphus dumicola. Its description in RNAcentral is "glutamate-gated chloride channel-like, transcript variant X1". Lineage: Eukaryota; Metazoa; Arthropoda; Arachnida; Araneae; Eresidae. The record is from RNAcentral.
UUCACUGUUAAACAAACAUUACGGUCAAACGCUUCUCAGGAUUUUAACGGUGAAAAGCGAUCGGUCGGAAACUUGAUAUACUUCUUGUUAGUUUCUGCUACUCCGUCUCAGUCAGCGGCUUUAAAUGCUCUGUGUGAGACACAUUGCUUUCGAGUUCUGCUACUCAUACUUGCAAAUCCCUCUUAAUAGAAUUUUGUUUGCGGAAAAGUUGCUUUAAAAGCUUCUUAAAAUGUUUCAGUUUAAGCAGAAAAAUGUUCAGCUGAUAAUAUGUUAUCUGAGUUACACGAAUAGGAUUUUUUAAUUUUCUUCUUAAAAAAUCUUUCAGGACGAACAUCUUGCAUUUAAAAUUUUUAGUUUUUUUCAAUAUUUAAGUUAGUGCAAUAUUUUUCGUGGAAAACAUGUAAAAAUAUGUGGUUAAUAAAUUAAUUUUUAGCUUCAAAUCAGCAAUAAAUCAUUUUCCUCGCAGAGAUAAUUAAGGAGUGAGACUUAUUCAUAUUUUGCGGCUGUUUUUGAAUUCUUUGCUUGUUUGAUGACCUCAUUUGAUCUAAACAAAUAAAAAGCCUUUUAAGUCCGCUACUUUAUUUCCGCUUAAGAUUAUGUAAUACAAUUAAAACAAGUAUAAAUAAUUAGCUUGGUCUGAAGGAGGAAAUACUCUCUUACAAUUUCUGAAACUGAUAACUGAAAAUCAAAUUCAAAGUUUAUUAAGCAAUUAGAAAGAAGAAUAUAAAGGGUAUAAAAUCAGCACUUAAAACAAUUUGACCUUUUUUUUAAUAUGAAAGGAAAAGUAAGCUAUAUUUAUGUAAUGGUGAUUGUUUUUCCAAAAGGAAAUGCAAUAAUCUGUUGAUUUAUAGCAAGAAGAUAAUAUAAGGACGAACUUCUAGAAAUACAGAAAUUUAAUAAUUUCAUGCGCCGGAGAAAUUUGGAACUUACAUGAGAAUUCCAGCAUCCUUGUUAUUCUUCAGUAUCUGUACCAUACUCUUUCAAAAUAUGAAAUCGCAAUGUUCUAUCAGCAGAGAUUACAAUUCACGUCGGCUUGUUAUAGAUGAUAUAGUCCCCCAAGAAUACGACGGAUUAAAAACUCCAAGAGCUGCAGAUGGCCCUGCUAAAGUGGAGCUCACGAUUGUUAUUAUGAAUGUUCGAAAUGUAGACGUCUCAGAAAUGUCCAUACGAUUCGAUUUGAUGAUGACUAAAAGAUGGAUGGAUAACCGACUCAUCUUCCCCGCUUCCAAUAUUGAAGAAAAGGUUGUCUUAGAUUUGGACUGGAGGAAGAGAAUUUGGAUGCCCGAUGUAUUUUUCGAGAACUCCAUCGAAGGCCAUGUUCAAGACACAAUUAUUCCAAACAUGUACAUCUGGCUGUUCAAGAACAAGACCAUUCAGUUUACAGCUAGAAUAUCAAUAGAAUUUAGCUGUCAUAUGGAUCUGAGGCUUUUCCCGCAUGAUACGCAAGAAUGCGAUAUGAUAGUUAUGAGCUUGGCUCAUACAGAAGAUGAAAUGCAACUAGUUUGGGAUAAAGAAGAAAAUAUUACUCAAGGCGACAAUAUAGUACUUCCACAAUUUGAAAUAAUUAAAGUUACCAGUGGAGAUUGCAAAAAAGGUGUUUCAAGUUAUUAGAUAGAUACAAUUACAUGUUUUUCAAAGACGUUGUUUUCUUGUGGCUAAGUUACUAGAUGGCAUGCCGUUAAAUUUACAGAUGCCCGUUUCUCUUGCCUGAAAGGCUCUGUAACAAUGACAAGACGUUCUGGAUAUUACAUCACUAAUGUUUACAUACCUACUUGUCUAGUAGUUUUUAUGUCAAUGUUGACUUUCUGGAUUCCACCA